CCAAACUGUUGCCUCGGCGGGAUCUCUGCCCCGGGUGCGUCGCAGCCCCGGACCAAGGCGCCCGCCGGAGGACCAACCAAAACUCUUUUUGUAUACCCCCUCGCGGGUUUUUUAUAAUCUGAGCCUUCUCGGCGCCUCUCGUAGGCGUUUCGAAAAUGAAUCAAAACUUUCAACAACGGAUCUCUUGGUUCUGGCAUCGAUGAAGAACGCAGCGAAAUGCGAUAAGUAAUGUGAAUUGCAGAAUUCAGUGAAUCAUCGAAUCUUUGAACGCACAUUGCGCCCGCCAGUAUUCUGGCGGGCAUGCCUGUCCGAGCGUCAUUUCAACCCUCGAACCCCUCCGGGGGGUCGGCGUUGGGGAUCGGCCCUGCCUUUUGGCGGUGGCCGUCUCCGAAAUACAGUGGCGGUCUCGCCGCAGCCUCUCCUGCGCAGUAGUUUGCACACUCGCAUCGGGAGCGCGGCGCGUCCACAGCCGUUAAACACCCAACUUCUGAAAUGUUGACCUCGGAUCAGGUAGGAAUACCCGCUGAACUUAAGCAUAUCAAUAAGCCGGAGGAA
Molecule: ribosomal RNA, 555 nt
Filed under: Trichoderma harzianum
Lineage: Eukaryota; Fungi; Ascomycota; Sordariomycetes; Hypocreales; Hypocreaceae
Description: eukaryotic LSU rRNA
Rfam family: 5.8S ribosomal RNA (bases 165-318)
Source: RNAcentral